This 767-nucleotide ribosomal RNA is filed under the name Pseudomonas sp. 2588-5. RNAcentral describes it as "bacterial LSU rRNA". It matches the Rfam family "Bacterial large subunit ribosomal RNA", at positions 1122 to 1884 of the family's 2925-position model. The record is from RNAcentral. Lineage: Bacteria; Pseudomonadati; Pseudomonadota; Gammaproteobacteria; Pseudomonadales; Pseudomonadaceae.
UUUAAAGAGUGCGUAAUAGCUCACUGGUCGAGUGACUCUGCGCCGAAAAUGUACCGGGGCUAAACGUAUCACCGAAGCUAUGGAUGGCCACCGUCAGGUGGCUGUGGUAGGGGAGCGUUCCAAGGGCGUAGAAGCAUGAUCGUAAGGACAUGUGGAGCGCUUGGAAGUGAGAAUGCCGGUAUGAGUAGCGAAAAGAGGGGUGAGAAUCCCCUCCGUCGAAAGCCUAAGGUUUCCUGAGGAAGGCUCGUCCGCUCAGGGUCAGUCGGGACCUAAGCCGAGGCCGAAAGGCGUAGGCGAUGGCAAACAGGUUGAUAUUCCUGUACCACCACGUUUCCAUUUGAGUGAAGGGGGGACGCAGGAAGGUAGGGUAAGCGCACCGUUGGAUGUGUGCGUCGAAGCAGUGAGACUGACAAGUAGGCAAAUCCGCUUGUCGUAAGGUUGAGCUGUGACCGCGAGUGAACUAAAGUAGCGAAGUUCCCGAUCCUACACUGCCAAGAAAAGCCUCUAGCGAGGAAACUGGUGCCCGUACCGCAAACCGACACAGGUAGGCGGGAAGAGAAUUCUAAGACGCGCGGGAGAACUCUCGUUAAGGAACUCGGCAAAAUGACUCCGUAACUUCGGGAGAAGGAGUGCUCUUGCGGGUGAAUAGCCUGCGAGAGCCGCAGUGAACAGGCCCAAACGACUGUUUAUCAAAAACACAGGUCUCUGCGAAGCCGCAAGGCGAAGUAUAGGGGCUGACACCCGCCCGGUGCUGGAAGGUUAAGAGG